RNAcentral lists this ribosomal RNA (579 nucleotides) under uncultured bacterium. Its description in RNAcentral is "bacterial SSU rRNA". It matches the Rfam family "Bacterial small subunit ribosomal RNA", at positions 337 to 916 of the family's 1533-position model. The record is from RNAcentral.
UCCUACGGGAGGCAGCAGUGAGGAAUUUUGCACAAUGGGGGAAACCCUGAUGCAGCGACGCCGUGUGUGGGAUGACAGGGCUUUGCCCCGUAAACCACUGUCAGAUGGGAAGAAAAGGAACCUUGGGUUCCCGGGACUGUACCAUCAGAGGAAGGACCGGCUAACUACGUGCCAGCAGCCGCGGUAAUACGUAGGGUCCAAGCGUUGUCCGGAUUUACUGGGUGUAAAGGGUGCGCAGGCGGGCCUGUGCGUCUGGGGUUAAAGACUUCGGCUCAACCGAAGAAGUGCCCCGGAUACGGCAGGUCUUGAGUACGAGAGAGGAUGGUAGAAUUCCUGGUGUAGCGGUGAAAUGCGUAGAUAUCAGGAGGAAUACCGGUGGCGAAGGCGGCCAUCUGGCUCGUUACUGACGCUCAGGCACGAAAGCGUGGGGAGCAAACAGGAUUAGAUACCCUGGUAGUCCACGCCCUAAACGAUGUAUGCUUGGUGUUGGGUAUGUAUUUACUCAGUGCCGGAGAAAACUCGUUAAGCAUACCACCUGGGGAGUACGAUCGCAAGGUUGAAACUCAAAUGAAUUGACGG